This 79-nucleotide transfer RNA is filed under the name Klebsiella pneumoniae. RNAcentral describes it as "tRNA-Ala". It matches the Rfam family "tRNA". Rfam says of the family: Transfer RNA (tRNA) molecules are approximately 80 nucleotides in length. Their secondary structure includes four short double-helical elements and three loops (D, anti-codon, and T loops). The record is from RNAcentral. Lineage: Bacteria; Pseudomonadati; Pseudomonadota; Gammaproteobacteria; Enterobacterales; Enterobacteriaceae. RNAcentral also lists the same sequence under 37 other names.
GGGGGAUGGGUCUGCUGGGAGUGGACACCGCACUUGCAAUGCGGGAAUCAGAACGGUUCAAAUCCGUUAUCCUCCACCA